Pseudophryne corroboree (corroboree frog) is the source of this 597-nucleotide long non-coding RNA. RefSeq lists it as uncharacterized. The transcript has 3 exons. The record is from RefSeq and is a predicted model, not a curated record. Lineage: Eukaryota; Metazoa; Chordata; Amphibia; Anura; Myobatrachidae.
GGAAGAACUGCACACUGGAAUCACUGAAGACAAUUGAAGCACUGACCUCUUUCCACCCCAGGAACAAGAUAUUUAUACCAGCUGGGAAACAGGGAUUGGCUGGCUGAUUAAUCAGAGACCAGAGUGCAGCUGCUGGGUAAUCAGGCUGAGAGCAGAGUGCAGCUGAUAGGCUGAAAGGUAUCACGUGAUUAGGAAAACAUGGCUGCGCCCAUGUUUGAACUUGGAGGGAAAGACUGUUUGUAACUUGCAUGUGAAACUUAACCCUGAUGCUGCCAGAAUCACAGUAAAGAGAUUAGAAACAAUGAGAUGCAGCGUGCUGCACACAGACAGUGCAGAUGGAAUCCAGGCUUGGAACGCUGGGACAGUCUCAGGAAGCAUUUGGAAGUCACCUUGAAACAUUGAUCAGGACCCGGAUAGCUGGGUGUUCCCACGAGUACAGGAAUAGUACGCAGACUUUGUCAGAGAAUGUCUUGUGCAUACAGGAAGGGAUUCCUGAAAAUGCUUUGUAACUGUCGCAUGGCGAGAUCAUUUCAGUAUAAAAAAUAAAAUAUACGCGCUUCUUCCAAAAUAAAAUAUACGCGCUUCUUCCAAAAUAAA